This 256-nucleotide ribosomal RNA is filed under the name uncultured bacterium. RNAcentral describes it as "partial 16S ribosomal RNA". It matches the Rfam family "Bacterial small subunit ribosomal RNA", at positions 1 to 294 of the family's 1533-position model. The record is from RNAcentral.
UAGUGAGUUUGAUCCUGGCUCAGGAUGAACGCUGGCGGUAAUGCUUUAACACAUGCAAGUCGAACGAGCUUUCGAGCUAGUGCGGACGGUGAGUAACGCGUGAGAAUCUGCCUUCUGGUCGGGACAACCACUGGAAACGGUGGCUAAUACCGGAUAUGCCUAUGGGUGAAAGAUUAAUUGCCAGAAGAAGAGCUCGCGUCUGAUUAGCUAGUUGGAGAGGUAAAGCUCACCAAGGCAUCGAUCAAGUGCUGGUCUA